Molecule: ribosomal RNA, 1458 nt
Filed under: Microbacterium sp.
Lineage: Bacteria; Bacillati; Actinomycetota; Actinomycetes; Micrococcales; Microbacteriaceae
Description: bacterial SSU rRNA
Rfam family: Bacterial small subunit ribosomal RNA
Source: RNAcentral
GGCAUGGCGGGUGCUUACACAUGCAGUCGAACGGUGAAGCCAAGCUUGCUUGGUGGAUCAGUGGCGAACGGGUGAGUAACACGUGAGCAACCUGCCCUGGACUCUGGGAUAAGCGCUGGAAACGGCGUCUAAUACUGGAUAUGAGCUCCUUCCGCAUGGUGGGGGUUGGAAAGAUUUUUCGGUCUGGGAUGGGCUCGCGGCCUAUCAGCUUGUUGGUGAGGUAAUGGCUCACCAAGGCGUCGACGGGUAGCCGGCCUGAGAGGGUGACCGGCCACACUGGGACUGAGACACGGCCCAGACUCCUACGGGAGGCAGCAGUGGGGAAUAUUGCACAAUGGGCGGAAGCCUGAUGCAGCAACGCCGCGUGAGGGAUGACGGCCUUCGGGUUGUAAACCUCUUUUAGCAGGGAAGAAGCGAAAGUGACGGUACCUGCAGAAAAAGCGCCGGCUAACUACGUGCCAGCAGCCGCGGUAAUACGUAGGGCGCAAGCGUUAUCCGGAAUUAUUGGGCGUAAAGAGCUCGUAGGCGGUUUGUCGCGUCUGCUGUGAAAUCCCGAGGCUCAACCUCGGGCCUGCAGUGGGUACGGGCAGACUAGAGUGCGGUAGGGGAGAUUGGAAUUCCUGGUGUAGCGGUGGAAUGCGCAGAUAUCAGGAGGAACACCGAUGGCGAAGGCAGAUCUCUGGGCCGUAACUGACGCUGAGGAGCGAAAGGGUGGGGAGCAAACAGGCUUAGAUACCCUGGUAGUCCACCCCGUAAACGUUGGGAACUAGUUGUGGGGACCAUUCCACGGUUUCCGUGACGCAGCUAACGCAUUAAGUUCCCCGCCUGGGGAGUACGGCCGCAAGGCUAAAACUCAAAGGAAUUGACGGGGACCCGCACAAGCGGCGGAGCAUGCGGAUUAAUUCGAUGCAACGCGAAGAACCUUACCAAGGCUUGACAUAUACGAGAACGGGCCAGAAAUGGUCAACUCUUUGGACACUCGUAAACAGGUGGUGCAUGGUUGUCGUCAGCUCGUGUCGUGAGAUGUUGGGUUAAGUCCCGCAACGAGCGCAACCCUCGUUCUAUGUUGCCAGCACGUAAUGGUGGGAACUCAUGGGAUACUGCCGGGGUCAACUCGGAGGAAGGUGGGGAUGACGUCAAAUCAUCAUGCCCCUUAUGUCUUGGGCUUCACGCAUGCUACAAUGGCCGGUACAAAGGGCUGCAAUACCGUAAGGUGGAGCGAAUCCCAAAAAGCCGGUCCCAGUUCGGAUUGAGGUCUGCAACUCGACCUCAUGAAGUCGGAGUCGCUAGUAAUCGCAGAUCAGCAACGCUGCGGUGAAUACGUUCCCGGGUCUUGUACACACCGCCCGUCAAGUCAUGAAAGUCGGUAACACCUGAAGCCGGUGGCCCAACCCUUGUGGAGGGAGCCGUCGAAGGUGGGAUCGGUAAUUAGGACUAAGUCGUAACAAGAGCUGCCCA